This 468-nucleotide ribosomal RNA is filed under the name uncultured bacterium. RNAcentral describes it as "partial 16S ribosomal RNA". It matches the Rfam family "Bacterial small subunit ribosomal RNA", at positions 28 to 507 of the family's 1533-position model. The record is from RNAcentral.
GACGAACGCUGGCGGCGUGCUUAACACAUGCAAGUCGAACGGAAAGGUCAUGCUUUUGUGGGGUGCUCGAGUGGCGAACGGGUGAGUAACACGCGAGUAACCUGCCCUUGACUUUGGGAUAACUUUAGGAAACUGGGGCUAAUAUCGGAUAGGAGCUCCUGAUGCAUGGUGGGGGUUGGAAAGUUUCGGUGGUUGGGGAUGGACUCGCGGCUUAUCCGCUUGUUGGUGGGGUAGUGGCUUACCAAGGUUUUGACGGGUAGCCGGCCUGAGAGGGUGACCGGCCACAAUGGGACUGAGAUACGGCCCAGACUCCUACGGGAGGCAGCAGUGGGGAAUAUUGCACAAUGGGCGGAAGCCUGAUGCAGCAACGCCGCGUGCGGGAUGACGGCCUUCGAGUUGUAAACCGCUUUCGCCUGUGACGAAGCGUGAGUGACGGUAAUGGGUAAAGAAGCACCGGCUAACUACGUG